CUGAGCCUCAUUGUGCCUCUCUGUAGGAGGGGAGUCUUUGCUCUCUGGCAAUGCGCUGUGAGCUGUGAGUACUCUUCGGUUGUGCUAUACUGCUGGGGUGAGGGAGGAAACCGCUGGCAGAAUGCUUGUCCAAAGUGAAUUGCAACAUUCAGACAAAUUGCUGGGCAACUUGGAAAACCCCUUUGGACAUGGCAGCCCAACUCUGUCCCUUCUGCCUGAAAUACUCAGCGUGGGGAGGCAGGAACUCGCAACUCAGGAGAGAAGUGAACUUGGUGUGAACCUCGGUGCUCAGAGCAGAACUGGUAGUUCUGGAUCCGGAAGGCAACUAGGUGAUCUCUUCCAGUGUUCAGCAUUUGAGGCAUCCUGUCUCCUUUGGCUAUGAGGUCAAGAUGGUCACAUCUGCUUCUCCAGGUGGAGCUCCAACUCCAUUAGCUUCUCCCCAGUUGGUCUGGUUGGUGGUUCAGCUCCAGGAAACGUGUCAUCUGGAUCAGGGCGAUUCUCGGUGUCCCCUCUGCUCCCUGAGCUGCAGAGACACAGGGAAGACUGUGAAGAUUCUGGGGCAGACAGUGCUGGACCUGAUUCCCUGAGAACACCUCUGCCCCAUGCAAGUUUCUGAGAACGCCACCCGGAAGGGUGCGCUUUAGAGCCACAGUGGUUGGGCCAAGCCUUUGGGGCCCAGCUCUGAGAGCCACAGACUCUUCUUCUUGCUCGUCUUGUCUCCACCAG
Heterocephalus glaber (naked mole-rat) is the source of this 726-nucleotide long non-coding RNA. The record is from Ensembl. NCBI's taxonomy places the organism in Eukaryota, Metazoa, Chordata, Mammalia, Rodentia, Bathyergidae.